CAAGAAAUGAUAUAUCAUGUAUGAUUUCGACUCAUAAUUAGAUGUGUAAACAUCCUUGUUUA
RNAcentral lists this transfer RNA (62 nucleotides) under Chtenopteryx sicula. RNAcentral's name for it is "tRNA-Arg". Lineage: Eukaryota; Metazoa; Mollusca; Cephalopoda; Oegopsida; Chtenopterygidae. The record is from RNAcentral.